Molecule: transfer RNA, 72 nt
Filed under: Candidatus Dojkabacteria bacterium
Lineage: Bacteria
Description: tRNA-Gly
Rfam family: tRNA
About the family: Transfer RNA (tRNA) molecules are approximately 80 nucleotides in length. Their secondary structure includes four short double-helical elements and three loops (D, anti-codon, and T loops). Further hydrogen bonds mediate the characteristic L-shaped molecular structure. tRNAs have two regions of fundamental functional importance: the anti-codon, which is responsible for specific mRNA codon recognition, and the 3' end, to which the tRNAs corresponding amino acid is attached (by aminoacyl-tRNA synthetases). tRNAs cope with the degeneracy of the genetic code in two manners: having more than one tRNA (with a specific anti-codon) for a particular amino acid; and 'wobble' base-pairing, i.e. permitting non-standard base-pairing at the 3rd anti-codon position.
Source: RNAcentral
GCGAUAUUAGUAUAGGUGGCAGUACGAUGCCUUCCCAAGGCAUAAGCACGAGUUCGAGUCUCGUAUAUCGCU